UCUUGGUCAUUUAGAGGAAGUAAAAGUCGUAACAAGGUUUCCGUAGGUGAACCUGCGGAAGGAUCAUUAGUGAAUUAAACAUGCUUGGUGUCUUCGCUUCGGCAAGGCCCUUGCUUAACUCACAUCCCAACACCUGUGAACUGUAAGGCGCAUGACUAGGUUCGCCCAAGUCAUCGUCUGCCCUUUUUAACAAACAAUUAAUGUAACAAACGUAGUCUUAUUAUAACCUAAUAAAACUUUCAACAACGGAUCUCUUGGCUCUCGCAUCGAUGAAGAACGCAGCGAAAUGCGAUAAGUAAUGUGAAUUGCAGAAUUCAGUGAAUCAUCGAAUCUUUGAACGCACCUUGCGCUCUUUGGUAUUCCGAAGAGCAUGCCUGUUUGAGUGUCAUGAAAAUAUCAACCUUGACUUGGGUUUUGUGCUCUAGUCUCGGCUUGGAAUUGGGUGCUUGCCGCUUUUACGAGCGGCUCACCUUAAAUGUAUUAGCUGGAUCUGUCUUUGAGACUUGGUUUGACUUGGCGUAAUAAGUAUUUCGCUAAGGGCAUUCUUCGGAGUGGCCUCGUUUCUAGGACGCUUGUCCGCUUUCCAAUACAAGUUCCACCUCGUGGACAUGACUUUUUAUUAUCUGGCCUCAAAUCAGUAGGACUACCCGCUGAACUUAAGCAUAUCAAUAAGCGGAGGA
Molecule: ribosomal RNA, 680 nt
Filed under: uncultured fungus
Lineage: Eukaryota; Fungi
Description: eukaryotic LSU rRNA
Rfam family: 5.8S ribosomal RNA (bases 235-388)
Source: RNAcentral